CCCGCUGUAGCUCAAUGGCAGAGCGAUCGGCUGUAGACCGAUAGGUUGUGUGUUCGACUCACACCAGCGGGA
Molecule: transfer RNA, 72 nt
Filed under: Microcaldota archaeon
Lineage: Archaea; Nanobdellati; Microcaldota
Description: tRNA-Tyr
Rfam family: tRNA
About the family: Transfer RNA (tRNA) molecules are approximately 80 nucleotides in length. Their secondary structure includes four short double-helical elements and three loops (D, anti-codon, and T loops). Further hydrogen bonds mediate the characteristic L-shaped molecular structure. tRNAs have two regions of fundamental functional importance: the anti-codon, which is responsible for specific mRNA codon recognition, and the 3' end, to which the tRNAs corresponding amino acid is attached (by aminoacyl-tRNA synthetases). tRNAs cope with the degeneracy of the genetic code in two manners: having more than one tRNA (with a specific anti-codon) for a particular amino acid; and 'wobble' base-pairing, i.e. permitting non-standard base-pairing at the 3rd anti-codon position.
Source: RNAcentral